AGAGUUUGAUCAUGGCUCAGGACGAACGCUGGCGGCAUGUCUAACCUAUGCAAGUCGAACGGGAAUACCUAAAGGUUUUCGGACCUAAGGGUAUUCGAGUGGCGAACGGGUGAGUAACGCGUGAGGAACCAACCUUCAACAGGGGGAUAACACUGGGAAACCAGUGCUAAUACCGCAUAAGACCACGGUAUCGCAUGGUACAGGGGUCAAAGGAUUUAUUCGGUUGAAGACGGUCUCGCGUCCCAUUAGGUAGUAGGCGGGGUAACGGCCCACCUAGCCAACGAUGGGUAGCCGAGCUGAGAGGCUGAUCGGCCACACUGGGACUGAGAUACGGCCCAGACUCCUACGGGAGGCAGCAAGGAAGAAUAUUGGGCAAUGGGGGAAACCCUGACCCAGCAAUGCCGCGUGAAGGAAGAAGGCCUUCGGGUUGUAAACUUCUGUGACGGGGGACGAAAAAAAUGACGGUACCCCGAGAGGAAGCCCCGGCAAACUACGUGCCAGCAGCCGCGGUAAUACGUAGGGGGCGAGCGUUGUCCGGAAUUACUGGGCGUAAAGAGCGCGUAGGCGGUGAUGUAAGUCGUUUGUGAAAGACCCGGGCUCAACCUGGGGGUUGCAGACGAAACUAUGUCACUUGAGUACGGUAGAGGGAAGUGGAAUUCCUAGUGUAGCGGUGAAAUGCGCAGAUAUUAGGAGGAACACCAGUGGCGAAGGCGACUUUCUGGGCCGCAACUGACGCUGAGGCGCGAAAGCGUGGGGAGCAAACAGGAUUAGAUACCCUAGUAGUCC
RNAcentral lists this ribosomal RNA (786 nucleotides) under uncultured bacterium. Its description in RNAcentral is "bacterial SSU rRNA". It matches the Rfam family "Bacterial small subunit ribosomal RNA", at positions 8 to 796 of the family's 1533-position model. The record is from RNAcentral.